AGAUAGGUGGCUCAGAGGUUAAGAGCACUGGCUGCUCUUCCAGAGGUCCUGAGUUCAAUUCCCAGCAUCUA
This 71-nucleotide transfer RNA is filed under the name Mus musculus (house mouse). It matches the Rfam family "tRNA". From Rfam's summary of the family: Transfer RNA (tRNA) molecules are approximately 80 nucleotides in length. Their secondary structure includes four short double-helical elements and three loops (D, anti-codon, and T loops). RNAcentral also lists the same sequence under 1 other name. The record is from Rfam by way of RNAcentral. Lineage: Eukaryota; Metazoa; Chordata; Mammalia; Rodentia; Muridae.